UGGGCAUGACGUAAAACAGCGAAUCAAAGAAUUCAACUUUAUUUAUAACUAAUAUAGGACAAUGCUGUUGAUUAAAAAGUACUCCAUUCCAGGACCUUUUGUUUUCCAAAUAAUUAAUAUUAUCAAUAAUUGAUAAGUUCCAGUUCGACGGGUUCAAACAGAAAGAUUUGAAAGCAGAGAAAACUGUGUAUCUUAUAAUCGGCAUGACUUUAUCAGAUGACA
Molecule: long non-coding RNA, 222 nt
Filed under: Mytilus galloprovincialis (Mediterranean mussel)
Lineage: Eukaryota; Metazoa; Mollusca; Bivalvia; Mytilida; Mytilidae
Source: RNAcentral